UACGUAGGGUGCAAGCGUUUAAUCGGAAUUACUGGGCGUAAAGCGUGCGCAGGCGGUUUUGUAAGUCUGUCGUGAAAGCCCCGGGCUCAACCUGGGAAUUGCGAUGGAGACUGCAAGGCUUGAAUCUGGCAGAGGGGGGGUAGAAUUCCACGUGUAGCAGUGAAAUGCGUAGAGAUGUGGAGGAACACCGAUGGCGAAGGCAGCCCCCUGGGUCAAGAUUGACGCUCAUGCACGAAAGCGUGGGGAGCAAACAGG
This 255-nucleotide ribosomal RNA is filed under the name uncultured bacterium. RNAcentral describes it as "partial 16S ribosomal RNA". It matches the Rfam family "Bacterial small subunit ribosomal RNA", at positions 524 to 776 of the family's 1533-position model. The record is from RNAcentral.